UACGGGGGGGGCAAGCGUUGUUCGGAAUUACUGGGCGUAAAGGGCUCGUAGGUGGCCAACUAAGUCAGACGUGAAAUCCCUCGGCUUAACCGGGGAACUGCGUCUGAUACUGGAUGGCUUGAGUUCGGGAGAGGGAUGCGGAAUUCCAGGUGUAGCGGUGAAAUGCGUAGAUAUCUGGAGGAACACCGGUGGCGAAGGCGGCAUCCUGGACCGACACUGACACUGAGGAUCGAAAGCCAGGGGAGCAAACGGG
Molecule: ribosomal RNA, 253 nt
Filed under: uncultured bacterium
Lineage: Bacteria
Description: partial 16S ribosomal RNA
Rfam family: Bacterial small subunit ribosomal RNA
Source: RNAcentral